Anguilla anguilla (European eel) is the source of this 285-nucleotide long non-coding RNA. RefSeq lists it as uncharacterized. Lineage: Eukaryota; Metazoa; Chordata; Actinopteri; Anguilliformes; Anguillidae. The record is from RefSeq and is a predicted model, not a curated record. The transcript is spliced from 3 exons.
CUUAUAUAGUAGCUGUAGUCUGGUCACUACGCUGAUCUAUGGUUAAAACAAGCUAAAAAAAAAUUUUCUCCCGGCUGAACGAAUUUCACACAUCGCAGCAAAAGUUUGUCUCGCCUGAAAACUAAACGUACGCGCAAAAGGGACGCCCCCUGCUGGAGAGAUCUCUCAUGUCAGCCGAGGGACAUGAUUCAGACUGGAGCAGAUCCUGCAGGCCCCACAAAAUGAGAUGCUGGCUGGGGGCACUACCUGUGAAGCGGGACAGUUUAAAUCAAGCAUCUGGGCCCA